This is a non-coding RNA of Amborella trichopoda, 2418 nucleotides long. The record is from RefSeq and is a predicted model, not a curated record. NCBI's taxonomy places the organism in Eukaryota, Viridiplantae, Streptophyta, Magnoliopsida, Amborellales, Amborellaceae.
CAUCCCUCCCCAAAACCCUCGAGAGAAACCCCCAAUCCCUGCAAUCCAAUCCCUCCAAAGGCGAAACCUCUCUCUCUCUCUCUCUCUCUCUCUCUCUAACCUAAUCCGCCAUGGUCGCUUCUCUCGUUCCCUCACUCCCUCUCCAAACCCACCAUUUCCCCUUCAGAAAUUGCUCUUUUCCCACUCUCAGUUUUCCGUCCUCUCUAUCCGGUUUUCCUUCUCCCUUCCCCAGUCACAAGAAGCCCCUCCGCCUCAAAACUGCGCCCUCCGCCUCAACCCAAACCGGUUCUCCAUCAACUCCCAGCGGUUCACCACCAUUGAAGGCCGCAAAGUACAAGAAACCGCUGGAGGAGAUCUACAACGUCAGGGUGGAGCGAGGGGUCUCAGAGGAGAGGCUUAAAACCCUGGGGGUCGACCGGUGGUCGACAUGGGUGACCGGCCGGUGCCGGUUGCCCUGGAACUGGGACGUGGACCAGCAGGUCUACAUUGUGAAAGGAACCGUCAAGGUGGUCCCUGGAGGGUGCGGUGAAAGGUGCAUGAGGUUCGAGCAAGGGGACCUCGUAAGGUACCCCAAAUGGUUCGAGGCCGACCUUUACUUUGAAGGCCCCUACGAGGAGCGCUACCGGUUCAGAGCUUACGGCGAGGACUAGAGAGAGAAAGAGAACGACUGCAGAGUGUUAGAAAAUAUGGGGCCUCUUCAGGUAAAGAAAAUUCAUAGUAUCUGAAAAGUGAUUUGUUCUUGAUGUUCUCUAAGAUAACAUGGUGACAUAAACACCAUUGUUGGGUGGAUUUUGUAGUACUACAAUACCCAAUGUACAUGUCAUAGAUGCAUGCCUAGGUUUAUGCAUCAAAAUACUUCUCCUUUGAAGAUAAAUGGAUCGAUUGACUCUUCAAUGUCACUUCAUUGCAUUUUCUUAAUUGGAAUUUGUAAAUUGAUUUUUAAAAAUUAGUAGGGCCUUCUUAACACGCUUUUCCAUGCAAAUAGUGUGUGAAACAUUUAACCUCUUUCAAACGUGCUUGGCUAUCCCUAACCUUGAACUUAAGCAUGAUAUAGUCCGUGUGUAUGUGUGUGUGUGUGUGUGUGUGUGAGAGAGAGAGAGAGAGAAAGAUCCUGUUCACUAUUGAAUGCAAAAAUAGAGGUAAAAUGUAUCAUUAAUUACAGUUUCUUGGUGAGCAAGCUUGAUCAUCCACCUUAAGUGCCUAUUCAAGAGACAUCUUUGAGCUUAUAUCUUCUAACAUAAGCCACAAAUACAAUCAGAUUUAGGGUGCUUAUUGUUGCUAAUAACCAGAAGAAAUAAUCAAGAUGGCCAUCAUUUAGAUUGUUAGAUAGCCAUCCCAAUUUACCUCCCCUUGAUGUUACAUUCUGCACUACUGUGAGAAUAAGUGAACUCAAAUAACUACUCAAAGAUUUGGUAAGCAAAGAGAAUGAUGUGGUCAAUGCCUUGAAAGCGUUUGGCGAUGAUCAUGAAAGAACUGCAAUUGUGCAGCAUUAUUGAACAUAUCAGAGAUUCCAACUAGGAGAUAUUGAGGUAGCUGCCAUAAUAUGCUUAGUGGCUUCUUGGCUCUUGAACACUCCAAUCUCUUCAUCUAUACUAAUGCAGCCACUACCAUGAACAAAUUUUUGUAACACGGAGAAUCCUUUGUCAUUGGUAUAAAAUUUAUUUGCGAUUCUGACAAUUAUGGCUUCAUAGAUAGGGAUUGAAAACACUAUGCAGAGACAUUCGAAUGCAUUCAACGAGGCAGGAGGGAAGGAAUAUGGACCAAUUUUGCAAUCCAUUUUUGUUCUUUGUUCAAUGAAUGUUGUGAUCAUGUGUUCCUCAAAAAAAAAUGUUGUGAUCAUCUGGGUGAAGGCUCUGCAGUAAACAAUGCUCGUCAUGAAAAUUGGAACCAUUGCUAGGUGCAACUUCAGUUCUGACACCUCUGAUCCACAAUUGUUGACUUGGGGAAUAGUUUUGAAGGCCCUUUCAUCAGGGUGUGUGUUGGGAUGCAAGGAUGGGACAAAAGAAGUUAUGAUGUGUGGUCUCUGUGUGUGUAUGUGUGUCUGUUGGGGAGGUUGGUGUGGGAACAUAAAUUUACAUGUGUGUGCUCGCAUGCAAACAUUUGUGUGUGUGUGUGUGUGUUGGAGAGGUAAGGUUGUUACAAAAAGAGUCCCACGAUCUGUAGUCACUAAAUUGACAAUAAUCGAAGUACAGCAGAGGAUGGACAAGCCAAGAAUGUAACUUAAGGGAAAACCUCACAAAGGAAAGCUCUGUAACCUCUACUUCCUCCAAAUUCUCUGCUACCCAGAAAUUUUUUUGUGUUUUGUGUGAUAUGUAUAUGCAUGUGGUGUUCUGCAUCCAUGCACCCAAGUGUGUACUGGCAAACCUUGCACGAUCAUCAUGACAACCAAUGGAAUCAAGGAUGUACCUGAAUUCUUCA